RNAcentral lists this small RNA (1245 nucleotides) under Pan troglodytes (chimpanzee). RNAcentral's name for it is "retained intron". Lineage: Eukaryota; Metazoa; Chordata; Mammalia; Primates; Hominidae. The record is from RNAcentral.
AAUCAGCCAACUCCCUUAUGCUGGGUCUCAGGGACACCCAAUACAGCUGCUCAGGCCCAGCCAGAUGGCAAAGGGCCCUCAACCAACCCUGGGACCAGAAUCACAAAAAGCCACCUACUUACUGGCUCCCGAGCCCAAGCUUAACAGGUGAAAUGGACCACUCUUCACCAGGAAGGGCAGGGCUGUGCCAAGCUCACCCCAGACUUCUAGGCCUGGGAGGGUAGGGUCCCAUGGAGCUGUGGGCUGCCCCCUACCCAACCUGACCUCUGCUUCCUCUCUUCCCUUCUCCCCACCUAAACAUUCCUCCACAGUGGCAAUAGCAAAGGAAAAGACAUCAACACGAUUAAAUCCCUCCGAGUCCUCCGGGUGCUACGACCUCUUAAAACCAUCAAGCGGCUGCCAAAGCUCAAGGCUGUGUUUGACUGUGUGGUGAACUCACUUAAAAACGUCUUCAACAUCCUCAUCGUCUACAUGCUAUUCAUGUUCAUCUUCGCCGUGGUGGCUGUGCAGCUCUUCAAGGGGAAAUUCUUCCACUGCACUGACGAGUCCAAAGAGUUUGAGAAAGAUUGUCGAGGCAAAUACCUCCUCUACGAGAAGAAUGAGGUGAAGGCGCGAGAUCGGGAGUGGAAGAAGUAUGAAUUCCAUUACGACAAUGUGCUGUGGGCUCUGCUGACCCUCUUCACCGUGUCCACGGGAGAAGGCUGGCCACAGGUCCUCAAGCAUUCGGUGGACGCCACCUUUGAGAACCAGGGCCCCAGCCCCGGGUACCGCAUGGAGAUGUCCAUUUUCUACGUCGUCUACUUUGUGGUGUUCCCCUUCUUCUUUGUCAAUAUCUUUGUGGCCUUGAUCAUCAUCACCUUCCAGGAGCAAGGGGACAAGAUGAUGGAGGAAUACAGCCUGGAGAAAAAUGAGAGGGCCUGCAUUGAUUUCGCCAUCAGCGCCAAGCCGCUGACCCGACACAUGCCGCAGAACAAGCAGAGCUUCCAGUACCGCAUGUGGCAGUUCGUGGUGUCUCCGCCUUUCGAGUACACGAUCAUGGCCAUGAUCGCCCUCAACACCAUCGUGCUUAUGAUGAAGUUCUAUGGGGCUUCAGUUGCUUAUGAAAAUGCCCUGAGGGUGUUCAACAUCGUCUUCACCUCCCUCUUCUCUCUGGAAUGUGUGCUGAAAGUCAUGGCUUUUGGGAUUCUGAAUUAUUUCCGCGAUGCCUGGAACAUCUUCGACUUUGUGACUGUUCUGGGCAGCAUC